Molecule: long non-coding RNA, 188 nt
Organism: Tupaia belangeri chinensis (Chinese tree shrew)
Lineage: Eukaryota; Metazoa; Chordata; Mammalia; Scandentia; Tupaiidae
Exons: 3
Source: RefSeq, a predicted model, not a curated record
GUGCUUUCUCCCUCUCCUCUCCUGUUUCUCUCUGAAUCACAGGGUGAGAGUCACCAUGCAAAGACUCGGAGACACACAGCAGAAGAUGGCCGCACGCAGAGGCAGCUUGGACCGAUGGUAUCUAUAGGCCAGGAACGCCGAUGGCUGCUGUCCUUCACCAAAGUGUGGAGAGAGGCGAGUGCUCUUCU